This 664-nucleotide ribosomal RNA is filed under the name Chryseobacterium cucumeris. RNAcentral describes it as "bacterial SSU rRNA". It matches the Rfam family "Bacterial small subunit ribosomal RNA", at positions 352 to 1004 of the family's 1533-position model. The record is from RNAcentral. Lineage: Bacteria; Pseudomonadati; Bacteroidota; Flavobacteriia; Flavobacteriales; Weeksellaceae.
CACUGACGAAAUUCGGACAAUUGGUGAGGCCUGAUCCAGCCAUCCCGCUGAAGACCGACGGCCUAUAGGUUGGUAAACUUCUUUGUAAAGGGAAUAACCCUACCUCGUGAGGGUAGCUGAAAGGUACUAUACGAAAUAAGCACCGCCUAACUCCGUGCCAGCAGCCGCGGUAAUACCGGAAGGGUGGCAAGCGGUUAUCCCGGAUUUAAUCGGGUUAAAGGGUCCGUAGGCGGAUCCUGUAAAGUCAGUGGGUGAAAUCUCACAAGCUUAACUUGUGAAACUGCCCAUUGAUACUGCAGGUCUUGAGUGUUGUUGAAGUAGCUGGAAUAAGUAGUGUAGCGGUGAAAUGCAUAGAUAUUACUUAGAACACCAAUUGCGAAGGCAGGUUACUAAGCAACAACUGACGCUGAUGGACGAAAGCGUGGGGAGCGAACAGGAUUAGAUACCCCUGGUAGUCCACGCCGUAAACGAUGCUAACUCGUUUUUGGAAUGUAAGUUUCAGAGACUAAGCGAAAGUGAUAAGUUAGCCACCUGGGGAGUACGAACGCAAGUUUGAAACUCAAAGGAAUUGACGGGGGCCCGCACAAGCGGUGGAUUAUGUGGUUUAAUUCGAUGAUACGCGAGGAACCUUACCAAGGCUUAAAUGGGAAAUGACAGGUUUAGA